AGUCCUCCUUCCUCCUCUUCCCCACAUCCCACCUCUCCUUUCCCCCUCCUUGUAGGCCCUCUUUCUCCUCAGCCCCCCUCCCCCCGCCUUUAGUCUCCUACCUCCCCUACAGCCUCCUGCCCCCGCCUCCUCACAGCCCCCUACUUACCCUACUGCCUCCCUCCUGGGGCCCUUUCCUCCCCAAGGGCCCCUCUGUUUUCUCCCAUUCCAGCCCCUGACCAGGCCCUGCUCCUCUGCUGGGGUCGGCCCCGCACAGUAAGCUGCCUGGGAGCCCUCAUUGCCUUCCUGGGCAACCCGGCCAAAGGCCCCCCGAGCAGCUGCAGCCCUGGAGGUCAGCCUCACCCUGGCAGACCGCAGGGGCCCCUCCUCACCGCCGACCUCUGCACCUUCACCCGUUUGCCUGGUGUCUGAGGAAGGGCCCGCAGGAAGAGCAUUCCUUUCCCAGGGUCUUCCUCAGGAGGGAUGAGAGGAAGCAAAAGCUUGGUCUGCAAACGGGCUGGUCCUCCCGACGGCCACAUCCGCAGGAAUGACCCUCAGAGGGGCUCCCCAACUGGCUGGGAGAUUCGUCCAGCUGGGCGCUCUGCUACACAGCCCCGUCAAGGGCAAACAGAUGACAAAACUGAGACACAAAAGAUGAAUCAGCUUGGCAGUGUUCACAGAGCCAGCGUGUGGAAAAGCCAGAAUCCAGACCCAGACCCGAACUGCAGCGUCCCGGCUCUUACCCCUAACCAGCCAGUGCCUCUCAGCUUAGUGCUCUUCCACCCGGCUUUUCUUUCUAAAAACACCCUCUUUUUUUUCCCUCCCUUCUCCCCAUCCCAUGAUGGAGCAUUCUGCGCCAAAAGCCAGCUUUCACUCUGCAGGGCAACGUGGAGAGGGAUGAAAAGCCUAGACCCCUUAGCACGGUCACCUGAACACAAGCUGAGUGUGGCGUAUCAAGUGGAAGCCCAGGAGGGAAGAGCCAGUGGCACAGUUAUCUCCCACCACCCGACAUGCUCCGGCCGCCAGCUCUGGUCUGACCGACGCUUCGGAUGAAGAACUCCAAGCAGCCCCCUAUUCGUACUGUUUUCCUCAGUGAACUCCCAGGGAUCACCUGCUUUUUAUGUGUGACGAAUGUGGUCAGUUUUGUUUGCUUUUGACAGCUCAUUAUGGGUCCAUGAGGUCAGAGUCCUGGCUGAAAGGCCAGAAGUUUAGGGAGCCUAUCUCCAGCUGAUACUCGCUUGCUUCUUGACCAUCUUUGGGCUUCUGUUCUUUCCCAGUAGCAUAAAGCUUGUAUGAUUCUGACCUCUGGCACCUAUGCAUUAUUUAAUCAACAUUUAUUGGGGCUGUCUCCAUGCCAGGCAUGUGGUAGGCCCUAGUGGGGCAGGGGUAAAAAACCGCUGCAAUCCUGGCCUUUCAGGAACUCAGUCUAGAGGGAGAAAGAAAACACCUGAGGCCAGAGGGCUCUCUCUGAUCUGCUUCUUCUAUUUCAAGUCUGUGCUUUUAACUAUAUUGAAUUUCCCAGUUAUUAUAUCUUCUUAAUGAAUUGUUGAUUUUAUCAGUAUGGAAUGUCCAUCCCACUUUGACCCUUGUAAUGCCUUUUACCUUAAAUUCUAUUUUAUUCUGCCCAUCACUAGGGGACUAGUUGAAUCAGUUAUGGUAUAUCCUCACAAUGGAGUACUAUGCAGUUGUGAAAAAUAAUGAGGGCCAUCUUUACGUGCUGUUAUGGAGUGAUUUCCAGGAUAUAUAGUUAAGAUGGAAAAGUAGGAAGGAAAAAAUAUGUAUUGUAUGCUACUGUUUAAGAAAGACAAGUAUUCAUCU
This 1797-nucleotide long non-coding RNA is filed under the name Homo sapiens (human). RNAcentral describes it as "uncharacterized LOC105374378 (LOC105374378)". The record is from RNAcentral. Lineage: Eukaryota; Metazoa; Chordata; Mammalia; Primates; Hominidae.